Zophobas morio is the source of this 164-nucleotide long non-coding RNA. RefSeq lists it as uncharacterized. The transcript is spliced from 2 exons. The record is from RefSeq and is a predicted model, not a curated record. Lineage: Eukaryota; Metazoa; Arthropoda; Insecta; Coleoptera; Tenebrionidae.
AAGCAAUUAUCCAGAACGAGGAGGAUAUUAACUACCAAAAAAUAGUUUUCGGCAAUUUCAGAUACUUCGUUCAUGUUCAAAGCCCAAUUAGAACUCAAUUUUUUUCUUAAAUCUCUCACUGUGUAUUUCCCAGACACACCAAAAUGUCCUUUAAUCGCCUCAAA